UGCAGUCGAACGGCAGCACGGGUGCUUGCACCUGGUGGCGAGUGGCGUACGGGUGAGUAAUAUAUCGGAACGUACCUUAUCGUGGGGGAUAACGCAGCGAAAGCUGCGCUAAUACCGCAUACGCCCUGAGGGGGAAAGCGGGGGACCGUAAGGCCUCGCGCGAUUAGAGCGGCCGAUAUCUGAUUAGCUUGUUGGUGGGGUAAAAGCCCACCAAGGCGACGAUCAGUAGCUGGUCUGAGAGGACGAUCAGCCACACUGGGACUGAGACACGGCCCAGACUCCUACGGGAGGCAGCAGUGGGGAAUUUUGGACAAUGGGGGCAACCCUGAUCCAGCAAUGCCGCGUGAGUGAAGAAGGCCUUCGGGUUGUAAAGCUCUUUUGUCAGGGAAGAAACAGCAGCUCUAACACAGUCUGCGAAUGACGGUACCUGAAGAAUAAGCACCGGCUAACUACGUGCCAGCAGCCGCGGUAAUACGUAGGGUGCAAGCGUUAAUCGGAAUUACUGGGCGUAAAGCGUGCGCAGGCGGUUAUACAAGACAGGCGUGAAAUCCCCGGGCUUAACCUGGGAAUGGCGUCUGUGACUGUAUGACUAGAGUGUGUCAGAAGGGGGUAGAAUUCCACGUGUAGCAGUGAAAUGCGUAGAUAUGUGGAGGA
Molecule: ribosomal RNA, 654 nt
Filed under: uncultured Burkholderiaceae bacterium
Lineage: Bacteria; Pseudomonadati; Pseudomonadota; Betaproteobacteria; Burkholderiales; Burkholderiaceae
Description: bacterial SSU rRNA
Rfam family: Bacterial small subunit ribosomal RNA
Source: RNAcentral